UGCGGAUGGGCCAGUGCCCAGCUGAGCCUCAUAAGCUCGGAUCGCCGGGUGCGACCCCUGGAUCCGCUAC
This 70-nucleotide transfer RNA is filed under the name Rubripirellula obstinata. RNAcentral's name for it is "tRNA-Met". The record is from RNAcentral. Lineage: Bacteria; Pseudomonadati; Planctomycetota; Planctomycetia; Pirellulales; Pirellulaceae.